UGUGGUGGCGAUAGCGAAAAGGAUACACCUGUUCCCAUGCCGAACACAGCAGUUAAGCUUUUCAGCGC
Molecule: ribosomal RNA, 68 nt
Filed under: Carnobacterium maltaromaticum
Lineage: Bacteria; Bacillati; Bacillota; Bacilli; Lactobacillales; Carnobacteriaceae
Source: RNAcentral